This 2398-nucleotide ribosomal RNA is filed under the name Shigella sonnei. RNAcentral describes it as "partial 23S ribosomal RNA". It matches the Rfam family "Bacterial large subunit ribosomal RNA", at positions 474 to 2852 of the family's 2925-position model. The record is from RNAcentral. Lineage: Bacteria; Pseudomonadati; Pseudomonadota; Gammaproteobacteria; Enterobacterales; Enterobacteriaceae.
UCCUGACUGACCGAUAGUGAACCAGUACCGUGAGGGAAAGGCGAAAAGAACCCCGGCGAGGGGAGUGAAAAAGAACCUGAAACCGUGUACGUACAAGCAGUGGGAGCACGCUUAGGCGUGUGACUGCGUACCUUUUGUAUAAUGGGUCAGCGACUUAUAUUCUGUAGCAAGGUUAACCGAAUAGGGGAGCCGAAGGGAAACCGAGUCUUAACUGGGCGUUAAGUUGCAGGGUAUAGACCCGAAACCCGGUGAUCUAGCCAUGGGCAGGUUGAAGGUUGGGUAACACUAACUGGAGGACCGAACCGACUAAUGUUGAAAAAUUAGCGGAUGACUUGUGGCUGGGGGUGAAAGGCCAAUCAAACCGGGAGAUAGCUGGUUCUCCCCGAAAGCUAUUUAGGUAGCGCCUCGUGAAUUCAUCUCCGGGGGUAGAGCACUGUUUCGGCAAGGGGGUCAUCCCGACUUACCAACCCGAUGCAAACUGCGAAUACCGGAGAAUGUUAUCACGGGAGACACACGGCGGGUGCUAACGUCCGUCGUGAAGAGGGAAACAACCCAGACCGCCAGCUAAGGUCCCAAAGUCAUGGUUAAGUGGGAAACGAUGUGGGAAGGCCCAGACAGCCAGGAUGUUGGCUUAGAAGCAGCCAUCAUUUAAAGAAAGCGUAAUAGCUCACUGGUCGAGUCGGCCUGCGCGGAAGAUGUAACGGGGCUAAACCAUGCACCGAAGCUGCGGCAGCGACGCUUAUGCGUUGUUGGGUAGGGGAGCGUUCUGUAAGCCUGCGAAGGUGUGCUGUGAGGCAUGCUGGAGGUAUCAGAAGUGCGAAUGCUGACAUAAGUAACGAUAAAGCGGGUGAAAAGCCCGCUCGCCGGAAGACCAAGGGUUCCUGUCCAACGUUAAUCGGGGCAGGGUGAGUCGACCCCUAAGGCGAGGCCGAAAGGCGUAGUCGAUGGGAAACAGGUUAAUAUUCCUGUACUUGGUGUUACUGCGAAGGGGGGACGGAGAAGGCUAUGUUGGCCGGGCGACGGUUGUCCCGGUUUAAGCGUGUAGGCUGGUUUUCCAGGCAAAUCCGGAAAAUCAAGGCUGAGGCGUGAUGACGAGGCACUACGGUGCUGAAGCAACAAAUGCCCUGCUUCCAGGAAAAGCCUCUAAGCAUCAGGUAACAUCAAAUCGUACCCCAAACCGACACAGGUGGUCAGGUAGAGAAUACCAAGGCGCUUGAGAGAACUCGGGUGAAGGAACUAGGCAAAAUGGUGCCGUAACUUCGGGAGAAGGCACGCUGAUAUGUAGGUGAAGUCCCUUGCGGAUGGAGCUGAAAUCAGUCGAAGAUACCAGCUGGCUGCAACUGUUUAUUAAAAACACAGCACUGUGCAAACACGAAAGUGGACGUAUACGGUGUGACGCCUGCCCGGUGCCGGAAGGUUAAUUGAUGGGGUCAGCGCAAGCGAAGCUCUUGAUCGAAGCCCCGGUAAACGGCGGCCGUAACUAUAACGGUCCUAAGGUAGCGAAAUUCCUUGUCGGGUAAGUUCCGACCUGCACGAAUGGCGUAAUGAUGGCCAGGCUGUCUCCACCCGAGACUCAGUGAAAUUGAACUCGCUGUGAAGAUGCAGUGUACCCGCGGCAAGACGGAAAGACCCCGUGAACCUUUACUAUAGCUUGACACUGAACAUUGAGCCUUGAUGUGUAGGAUAGGUGGGAGGCUUUGAAGUGUGGACGCCAGUCUGCAUGGAGCCGGCCUUGAAAUACCACCCUUUAAUGUUUGAUGUUCUAACGUGGACCCGUGAUCCGGGUUGCGGACAGUGUCUGGUGGGUAGUUUGACUGGGGCGGUCUCCUCCUAAAGAGUAACGGAGGAGCACGAAGGUUGGCUAAUCCUGGUCGGACAUCAGGAGGUUAGUGCAAUGGCAUAAGCCAGCUUGACUGCGAGCGUGACGGCGCGAGCAGGUGCGAAAGCAGGUCAUAGUGAUCCGGUGGUUCUGAAUGGAAGGGCCAUCGCUCAACGGAUAAAAGGUACUCCGGGGAUAACAGGCUGAUACCGCCCAAGAGUUCAUAUCGACGGCGGUGUUUGGCACCUCGAUGUCGGCUCAUCACAUCCUGGGGCUGAAGUAGGUCCCAAGGGUAUGGCUGUUCGCCAUUUAAAGUGGUACGCGAGCUGGGUUUAGAACGUCGUGAGACAGUUCGGUCCCUAUCUGCCGUGGGCGCUGGAGAACUGAGGGGGGCUGCUCCUAGUACGAGAGGACCGGAGUGGACGCAUCACUGGUGUUCGGGUUGUCAUGCCAAUGGCACUGCCCGGUAGCUAAAUGCGGAAGAGAUAAGUGCUGAAAGCAUCUAAGCACGAAACUUGCCCCGAGAUGAGUUCUCCCUGACCCUUUAAGGGUCCUGAAGGAACGUUGAAGACGACGACG